CCCUGCUGCCCAUGUCAGCUGGCAGACAGGCAGCAGCGUCGCCUCCUCCAACUCCUCCCCAACCUCUGUCACUGAAGAUUCAGCAGUCUUCAGCACCGCCCCCUCUCUCUCCUCCCGUCAGAUAGAGGACUCAGGACACAGGAAGUCACAUAAUGUACAUGUGACUAUGCACUGUCUGGGGGAGGAGUGAGCUGUAGUGAGAAGAGGAGCAGCCAGCCAGUGUAUCAGCCUGCAGCCCUAGUAACCAGCCACAGAGGAGCUGAGACAGGUUCCUGCUGGGAUCCAGCUGCAGGCACCAUAGGAACUGGUCUGUGGAGCUGGGGCACCCAAGACUUCCUGCUCCGUGGACAGUGAGGCGGGUGAUGCAUCGCCAUGGCAACAUGACGUCAGGAGCAGAAGCGGAAGGGAGCGUGACGGCCGCGGACGGGGACCAGUUGGACGGCGGCGGUGAUCAGCGGGUACCUUUACAGAGAUGGGAGAUCCAUGGCUUCCUUAUUUGGUCACGUUACCCAGUACCUGAGCCCCGUUCAGCUCUCAACAGUCCUGCCAGAAAUGCUGGGACCACCAUAAAGUUUCAGGCACGUUUCAGGCUCACCACAUUUCAGGCACGGCGGCUCACUUUGUUCGCCAUAGAUUACUAUUUCCAUUAGAUGUCCACGUGGAUAGUAAAACUGAUAGCACAGGGGUCCCAUGUUCUACACUUGAGCCCAUGAUGUUAAACAUAUUAGCAGUCAUUUUUCAGGAAGAUGGAACAUUUUAUUCACAGUAAAAAUCUCUCCAGGUAGCAGUGGUGUAGUAUUAGGGGUAGCAGUAUUAGCAACCACUACCGAGAUCAAGAUCCCUGGGAACCUGGCUGCCUCCGUAGAACUGUAAAGGCUAUAAGCUACAGUAUGCUGGAGUCAGGCAUAGACGGGACAGAGAAGGAAUAAGGUUGGUGUAGAAACGUGUAAGGGGCAGAGAAACUCAAAUGUAGUAUAACUGAACUAGCAAUGGACAAAGUAGGUGUGAAGGUUGUGGGAAGUUGCUAGCAGUGGUGGGAAAAUAUGAGGGGCCUAGAACACAAUUUGCUCAAGAACCCACGUACCUUUAGUAAUGCCACUAGCUGUGCAGUGUUUAUGUUUAGUUUUAUUUUCUUGUUUUUUUGCUGAAACUUUAGGCAUAUUUCAUAUUUUGAUUUAUUUAACAGCUCAACAGUUAUAGGUUCUUAUCAUGGUUUUUCCAUCAAAAAUGAACUAAGUUUGGGCUUGUUAUAGAUUGAGAGAGCAUCAAGUUCAUGACUGUUUUUGUUUCAAAUAUAUAAUAUUGCUGUCUGCAUAGCA
Long non-coding RNA from Pseudophryne corroboree (corroboree frog), 1319 nucleotides. RefSeq lists it as uncharacterized. The record is from RefSeq and is a predicted model, not a curated record. Lineage: Eukaryota; Metazoa; Chordata; Amphibia; Anura; Myobatrachidae. The transcript is spliced from 3 exons.